RNAcentral lists this ribosomal RNA (423 nucleotides) under uncultured Chroococcales cyanobacterium. Its description in RNAcentral is "bacterial SSU rRNA". It matches the Rfam family "Bacterial small subunit ribosomal RNA", at positions 355 to 794 of the family's 1533-position model. Lineage: Bacteria; Bacillati; Cyanobacteriota; Cyanophyceae; Chroococcales. The record is from RNAcentral.
UGGGGAAUUUUCCGCAAUGGGCGAAAGCCUGACGGAGCAAUACCGCGUGAGGGAAGAAGGCUCUUGGGUUGUAAACCUCAAAACUUAGGGAAGAAAAAAAUGACGGUACCUAAUGUAAGCAUCGGCUAACUCCGUGCCAGCAGCCGCGGUAAUACAGAGGAUGCAAGCGUUAUCCGGAAUCAUUGGGCGUAAAGAGUCCGUAGGUGGCACUUCAAGUCUGCUUUCAAAGACCGAAGCUCAACUUCGGAAAGGAAGUGGAAACUGAAGAGCUAGAGUAUAGUAGGGGUAGAGAGAAUUCCUAGUGUAGCGGUGAAAUGCGUAGAGAUUAGGAAGAACACCAGUGGCGAAGGCGCUCUACUGGGCAUAUACUGACACUGAGGGACGAAAGCUAGGGGAGCGAAAGGGAUUAGAUACCCCUGUAGU